Molecule: transfer RNA, 75 nt
Filed under: Candidatus Bathyarchaeota archaeon
Lineage: Archaea; Thermoproteati; Candidatus Bathyarchaeota
Also listed under: 1 other name
Description: tRNA-Val
Rfam family: tRNA
About the family: Transfer RNA (tRNA) molecules are approximately 80 nucleotides in length. Their secondary structure includes four short double-helical elements and three loops (D, anti-codon, and T loops).
Source: RNAcentral
GGGCCGGUGGUCUAGGUGGUCUAGGACGGUCGCCUCACACGCGACAGAUCCCCGGUUCGAAUCCGGGCCGGCCCA